AGAAAUUUAGGUUUAACUAAACCAAAAGCCUUCAAAGCUUCAAAUAAGAGUGAAAACCUCUUAAUUUCUG
This 70-nucleotide transfer RNA is filed under the name Urogymnus dalyensis (giant freshwater stingray). RNAcentral describes it as "tRNA-Trp". It matches the Rfam family "tRNA". From Rfam's summary of the family: Transfer RNA (tRNA) molecules are approximately 80 nucleotides in length. Lineage: Eukaryota; Metazoa; Chordata; Chondrichthyes; Myliobatiformes; Dasyatidae. The record is from RNAcentral.